RNAcentral lists this ribosomal RNA (865 nucleotides) under uncultured bacterium. Its description in RNAcentral is "bacterial SSU rRNA". It matches the Rfam family "Bacterial small subunit ribosomal RNA", at positions 629 to 1504 of the family's 1533-position model. The record is from RNAcentral.
GAUACUGGUUAACUAGAAUACAGACGACGUGGGCGGAAUGCGACAUGUAGCGGUGAAAUGCUUAGAUAUGUCGCAGAACACCGAUAGCGAAGGCAGCUCACGAGGAUGUUAUUGACGCUCAUGCACGAAAGCGUGGGGAUCAAACAGGAUUAGAUACCCUGGUAGUCCACGCCCUAAACUAUGAUUACUCGUUGUUAGCUCAAUUGGGAGUUAGUGGCUAAGGGAAACCUAUAAGUAAUCCACCUGGGGAGUACGAUCGCAAGGUUGAAACUCAAAGGAAUUGACGGGGGCCCGCACAAGCGGAGGAGCAUGUGGUUUAAUUCGAUGAUACGCGAGGAACCUUACCUGGGCUCGAACGGUUAAAGACUUAAUGUGAAAGCAUUAUUCUAUUUAUAGCUUUAAUCGAGGUGCUGCAUGGUUGUCGUCAGCUCGUGCCGUGAGGUGUUAGGUUAAGUCCUGCAACGAGCGCAACCCUUACUUUUAGUUGCCAGCAUGUCAUGAUGGGGACUCUAAAAGAACUGCCGGCGCAAGCCGUGAGGAAGGUGGGGAUGACGUCAAAUCAGCACGGCCCUUAUGUCCAGGGCUACACACGUGCUACAAUGGUCGACACAGAGGGCAGCUACUUGGCAACAAGAUGCGAAUCUCUAAAUUCGAUCUCAGUUCGGAUCGAAGUCUGCAACUCGACUUCGUGAAGUUGGAUUCGCUAGUAAUCGCACAUCAGCCAUGGUGCGGUGAAUACGUUCCCGGGCCUUGUACACACCGCCCGUCAAGCCAUGGAAGCUGGGGGUGCCUAAAGUCCGUAACCGCAAGGAGCGGCCUAGGGUAAAAUCAGUGACUGGGGCUAAGUCGUAACAAGGUAACCGUA